GAUCUUUUUCAAACUGCAUGCUUUUGUCUGCCUCUGAGUCACAACAUUGUGCAUAAAGAAAUACUCAGAAAUGCAAUUUUAGGAUUAAUCAUCUUUAUUUAUGUCCUUCAUCUGAGAAAAAACCCACCAAAAACAUGAUUUUCAUCUGAGUCAUAAACUGGAAAUUCAACCGGAAACCGGAGAUUCAAAAAAAGAACUAAAAGAAAUUGCGACAAACCUGACAGAUUCUGCAAAACUCAAAGACUUUUGCUUUAGAAAAACUCAAUUUAGCAUGAAAGAGGAAGUUAUGGUGAUCAUUUUCUGUAGGUCAUCUCCUCCACUUUACUUCCACUGAAAUUCUGUCUCAGACAGAUUAGCAAACACCAAGGACAAAUGUAAUGUCACCUUCCAGCCGGGGACAAAUUUAGUUGUAUGAAUACACAAUAGAACUCCAUUUUACUAAAAAGAUAAAACUGAGACUUUCAGGAGCUGCACAGUUCAUAUUCCAGCAGAGAUGCAAAGAAGUACAGUUGAGAAUGCAAAGUUCAAUUGUGGAUCCACCAGAACAUCUUGUUUCAGAUCUCCAAAUGCCUAUUCAAGGAAGUCUCCACUCUUCUGCGAGGUGAGGAAACUCCCUGCCAAACCCACGCAACAACUGAACAAUAGGCAGAGGCCUGUCUGCCCUUUGAAGAGGUCCUCGCGGCUGAAUUCCUCCGGUGCGCUCAAAGCCCGCCACCUUUGUUAUGUCUGCACACCUCCUGGUAAAAACGGCGUGUUUAGAUACGGGGUUUUUUGCCCUUUUUGUCCCCUUUUGUCUCCCCCCACACCCUGUCAGCACCAUCCUGUUUGCCCAUCUGUGGGGCAGACACAGACUGAUGACAAACAGAGUGAAUAAAACAUGACGAUAGACGCCCGUUGCCCUGAGAUGAAGCCUUAGAUGGACAGUAUGUGGCAGGGAGGGGGUUUAAAAUGCAGAUGUGCGGCAAGAAGAAUUGUUGAAUUGAUGUGCUUGCCGCACAUCUGGGGCACAACAAUUCUUCAUCCUUCAGCCCUGAUAAAACAAGCUGCACCAGGUUGCCAGUCUACACUGCAAAAACAGGCUCUUACAGAUAAGUUAUUGGCAGAUUUUCUUUUUGUUCUGCAUACUUUAUACUUAUACUACUGUAUAAGUUUAAUUUUGUUUGUUUGUUUUUUAGUUUUCUUUCAGAUGACUGAUACUCAGGUGCGACUUCUAUGUGAUUUUCAAAAAAAAAAAAA
Non-coding RNA from Oryzias latipes (Japanese medaka), 1236 nucleotides. The record is from RefSeq and is a predicted model, not a curated record. Lineage: Eukaryota; Metazoa; Chordata; Actinopteri; Beloniformes; Adrianichthyidae.